AUUCCUUCUUUGAGCCUUCUGCACAACGACUAUAACCAUGUGCAUAGUCCCUGUAAACCAGGGGCAACGUCACCUACGUGCUGGAAUCCACUUCUGUGGGGACCAACAGCCGGGUAUAUAUCUAUUAGGUUAUAUCUGGUCUACAGAUUAGGCGGUGGCGGUCAGUAUGUUUGUCUUUUUUGUGAUAAUGAUGAUAUAAUUUAUCGGCUAUAAGAUAUAGCUCUCCACGUUAUUGAUCCUACACCAUUACAAAGGGCAGGUACUACUGAUCAAGAUAUAAUCGGUCGCUAUUGCCAGUAUAAAUAGCUGAGAAACGUUCCGUAGGUGAACCUGCGGAAGGAUCAUUA
RNAcentral lists this ribosomal RNA (347 nucleotides) under Verrucaria hydrophila. RNAcentral describes it as "partial 18S small subunit ribosomal RNA". Lineage: Eukaryota; Fungi; Ascomycota; Eurotiomycetes; Verrucariales; Verrucariaceae. The record is from RNAcentral.